GAUGAACGCUGGCGGCGUGCCUAAUACAUGCAAGUCGAGCGAACGGACGAGAAUCUUGCUUCUCUGAUGUUAGCGGCGGACGGGUGAGUAACACGUGGAUAACCUACCUAUAAGACUGGGAUAACUUCGGGAAACCUUAUCUAAUACCGGAUAAUAUUUUGAACCGCAUGGUUCAAAAGUGAAAGACGGUCUUGCUGUCACUUAUAGAUGGAUCCGCGCUGCAUUAGCUAGUUGGUAAGGUAACGGCUUACCAAGGCAACGAUGCAUAGCCGACCUGAGAGGGUGAUCGGCCACACUGGAACUGAGACACGGUCCAGACUCCUACGGGAGGCAGCAGUAGGGAAUCUUCCGCAAUGGGCGAAAGCCUGACGGAGCAACGCCGCGUGAGUGAUGAAGGUCUUCGGAUCGUAAAGCUCUGUUAUUAGGGAAGAACGUAUGUGUAAGUAGAUGUGGACGUCUUGACGGUACCUAAUCAAAAAGCAACGGCUAACUACGUG
RNAcentral lists this ribosomal RNA (497 nucleotides) under uncultured bacterium. RNAcentral describes it as "partial 16S ribosomal RNA". It matches the Rfam family "Bacterial small subunit ribosomal RNA", at positions 28 to 507 of the family's 1533-position model. The record is from RNAcentral.